RNAcentral lists this ribosomal RNA (274 nucleotides) under uncultured bacterium. RNAcentral's name for it is "partial 16S ribosomal RNA". It matches the Rfam family "Bacterial small subunit ribosomal RNA", at positions 523 to 796 of the family's 1533-position model. The record is from RNAcentral.
AUACAGAGGGUGCAAGCGUUAAUCGGAAUUACUGGGCGUAAAGCGUACGUAGGCGGUUUGGUAAGUCAGAUGUGAAAGCCCUGAGCUUAACUUGGGAACUGCAUUUGAAACUGCCUGACUAGAGUGUGAUAGAGGAUAGUGGAAUUUCCGGUGUAGCGGUGAAAUGCGUAGAGAUCGGAAGGAACACCAGUGGCGAAGGCGGCUAUCUGGAUCAACACUGACGCUGAGGUACGAAAGCGUGGGGAGCAAACAGGAUUAGAAACCCCGGUAGUCC